This is a non-coding RNA of Rattus norvegicus (Norway rat), 385 nucleotides long. Lineage: Eukaryota; Metazoa; Chordata; Mammalia; Rodentia; Muridae. The record is from the annotation of a RefSeq genome assembly.
CUCUCAGUGAAGAUAUAGCAUCAACAUGAGAGUUCUCCCUGAGCUUCUGGGGCUGCUGUUACUCUGGUUUUCUGGUGUGAGAUGUGACAUCCAGAUGACACAGUCUCCGUCAUUUCUGUCUGCAUCUCUUGGAAACAGCAUCACCAUCACUUGCCAUGCCAGUCAGAACAUCAAGGGUUGGUUAGCCUGGUACCAACAAAAGUCAGGGAAUGCUCCUGAACUGUUGAUUUAUAAGGCAUCUAGCCUGCAAUCAGGGGUUCCAUCAAGAUUCAGUGGCAGUGGAUCUGGAACAGAUUAUAUUUUCACUAUCAGCAACCUACAGCCUGAAGAUAUUGCCACUUAUUACUGUCAGCAUUAUCAAAGCUUUCCUCUCACAGUGACAUGA